This 232-nucleotide long non-coding RNA is filed under the name Lathyrus oleraceus (garden pea). RNAcentral's name for it is "Pisum sativum (pea) long non-coding RNA (PSAT_LNC017043)". Lineage: Eukaryota; Viridiplantae; Streptophyta; Magnoliopsida; Fabales; Fabaceae. The record is from RNAcentral.
UUUCUUUGAGCAUAUUUUACCUGGUCUGUGGAGGUUCCUAUCAAGAGUUGACAUUCUGGGGCAGCAUGCCCCGGAACUCCGCAUAUCUCGCGGUUUGGUGCUACGGCAACCACGGUGGAUGUGGGUGUUAUGGUCAAGUUGUCUAUCUUUUGAGUAAGAGCAUCUACCUUGGCGUUGACAUGGUCAAGACUGCUUAAUUCGUACAUGUCGCCUUUCGUUGGAGGUUUCUCUA